Tympanuchus pallidicinctus (lesser prairie-chicken) is the source of this 467-nucleotide long non-coding RNA. RefSeq lists it as uncharacterized. Lineage: Eukaryota; Metazoa; Chordata; Aves; Galliformes; Phasianidae. The record is from RefSeq and is a predicted model, not a curated record. The transcript is spliced from 3 exons.
UAAAGAUCAUAGAGCCAGGGAAUGGUUGGGUUGGAGAGGUCCUUAAAGAUCAUAGAGCCAGGGAAUGGUUGGGCUGGAGAGGUCCUUAAAGAUCAUAGAGCCAGGGAAUGGUUGGGUUGGAGAGGUCCUUAAAGAUCAUAGAGCCAGGGAAUGGUUGGGUUGGAGAGGUCCUUAAAGAUCAUAGAGCCAGGGAAUGGUUGGGUUGGAGAGGUCCUUAAAGAUCAUAGAGCCAGGGAAUGGUUGGGUUGGAGAGGUCCUUAAAGAUCAUAGAACCAGGGAAUGGUUGGGCUGGAGAGGUCCUUAAAGAUCAUAGAGCCAGGGAAUGGUUGGGUUGGAGAGGUCCUUAAAGAUCAUAGAGCCAGGGAAUGGUUGGGUUGGAGAGGUCCUUAAAGAUCAUAGAGCCAGGGAAUGGUUGGGCUGGAGAGGUCCUUAAAGAUCAUAGAGCCAGGGAAUGGUUGGGCUGGAGA